GAACUGCGAUAAGUAAUGUGAAUUGCAGAAUUCAGUGAAUCAUCGAGUCUUUGAACGCACAUUGCGCCCCCUGGCAUUCCGGGGGGCAUGCCUGUCCGAGCGUCAUUGCUGCCCUCAAGCCCGGCUUGUGUGUUGGGUCGUCGUCCCCCCCGGGGGACGGGCCCGAAAGGCAUCGGCGGCACCGUGUCCGGUCCUCGAGCGUAUGGGGCUUUGUCACCCGCUCGAUUAGGGCCGGCCGGGCGCCAGCCGGCGUCUCCAACCUUAUUUUUCUCAGGUUGACCUCGGAUCAGGUAGGGAUACCCGCUGAACUUAAGC
Molecule: unclassified non-coding RNA, 315 nt
Filed under: plant metagenome
Description: partial contains 5.8S ribosomal RNA, internal transcribed spacer 2, and large subunit ribosomal RNA
Rfam family: 5.8S ribosomal RNA (bases 1-105)
Source: RNAcentral